AGUCGAGGGGUAGCAUGAAGUAGCAAUACUUCGAUGACGACCGGCGCACGGGUGAGUAACACGUAUGCAACCUACCUUCCACAGGGGAAUAGCCCGGAGAAAUCCGGAUUAAUACCCCAUAACACAGGGAUACCGCAUGGUAAUAUUUGUUAAAGAUUAAUCGGUAGAAGAUGGGCAUGCGUUCCAUUAGCCAGUUGGUGAGGUAACGGCUCACCAAAGCAACGAUGGAUAGGGGAACUGAGAGGUUUAUCCCCCACACUGGAACUGAGACACGGUCCAGACUCCUACGGGAGGCAGCAGUGAGGAAUAUUGGUCAAUGGACGAGAGUCUGAACCAGCCAAGUCGCGUGAAGGAUGACUGCCCUACGGGUUGUAAACUUCUUUUGUAUGGGAGUAAAAAGAUGGACGUGUCCAUUAUUGCAAGUACCAUACGAAUAAGCAUCGGCUAACUCCGUGCCAGCAGCCGCGGUAAUACGGAGGAUGCAAGCGUUAUCCGGAUUUAUUGGGUUUAAAGGGUGCGUAGGCGGGACAAUAAGUCAGCGGUGAAAGUUUGAGGCUCAACCUUAAAAUUGCCGUUGAAACUGUCGUUCUUGAGUAUAUUUGAAGUAGGCGGAAUUCGUAGUGUAGCGGUGAAAUGCAUAGAUAUUACGAAGAACUCCA
RNAcentral lists this ribosomal RNA (659 nucleotides) under uncultured bacterium. RNAcentral describes it as "bacterial SSU rRNA". It matches the Rfam family "Bacterial small subunit ribosomal RNA", at positions 60 to 711 of the family's 1533-position model. The record is from RNAcentral.